CUAUCUUUUACAAAGGAUCUCUGCUCUAACGUGACACUUCCUACGUCGUCCAUGGGCGCUCAGAGCCCGGGAAAAACCUGAAUGUCGUCAUCCCAGCCCCAGGCUGAAACACAUUAUCGCCUUUCUCAAGUGGCCGAUCAAGGGACUGUGGGCUUAGGCGCGUGACCUGGCCUCCCCGUCUUUGUGAUUUUUUCCUCUGUUUGCCGAAAAGGAGAUUCCCGGGUCGGAAUAUUAUCGCUUUUCUACGAGAAAAAUGGCAUAAAAAUUGAUUUUAAACAGCGGUUGACAUGCUUCGAAGUACGGUAAUGGAAUAUUUAGAAUUUUUUUGUCACGAAUUGCGCCAUGCGCACGACCCUUAUUUACCAUUUCGGAUAGUGUCUGGGACGCACGAACAAAACGGCGCUAUUCGGAUAUAACGAUGGAUUAUUUUGGACCAAACCAACAUUUGUUAUUGAAGUGGCAGUCCUGGGAGUGCAUUCUGACGAAGACAACAAAAGGACCUGAGCCCUAGGACCAUGCCUCAGGACUACCUGGUAUGAUGACUCCUUGCUGUCCCCAGUCCACCUGGCCGUGCUGCUGCUCCAGUUUCAACUGUUCUGCCUGCGGCUAUGGAACCCUGACCUGUUCACCGGACGUGCUUGUUGCACCCUCGACAACUACUAUGAUUAUUAUUAUUUGACCAUGCUGGUCAUUUAUGAACAUUUUAACAUUUUAACAUUUUGACCAUGUUCUGUUAUAAUAUCC
RNAcentral lists this long non-coding RNA (744 nucleotides) under Salmo salar (Atlantic salmon). Its description in RNAcentral is "lncRNA (ENSSSAG00000102174.1)". The record is from RNAcentral. Lineage: Eukaryota; Metazoa; Chordata; Actinopteri; Salmoniformes; Salmonidae.